RNAcentral lists this ribosomal RNA (720 nucleotides) under uncultured bacterium. RNAcentral's name for it is "partial 16S ribosomal RNA". It matches the Rfam family "Bacterial small subunit ribosomal RNA", at positions 413 to 1121 of the family's 1533-position model. The record is from RNAcentral.
GGCCCUMGGGUUGUAAACUCCUGUYMUSGGAGAGUAAGGUCACCGGUACUAACUGACUUGUGGAUUGAUAGUUUCUGAAGAGGAAGAGACGGCUAACUCUGUGCCAGCAGCCGCGGUAAUACARAGGUCUCAAGCGUUGUUCGGAAUUACUGGGCGUAAAGCAUGCGUARGCUCCGAGGUAAGUCAGAUGAGAAAUCCCGGGGCUCARCCACKGAACUGCAUCCGAUACUGCCUUGCUUSAGUAKGGGAGGGGCGACUGGAAUUCACGGUGUAGCARUGAAAUGCGUARAUAUCGUGAGGAACACUGKUAGCGAAGGCGAGUCGCUGGACACUUACUGACGCUGAGGCACGAAGGCCAGGGUAGCGAAAGGGAUUAGAUACCCCUGUAGUCCUGGCAGUAAACGGUGCACGUUUGGUGUGGGAGGAUUCGACCCCUUCCSUGCCGUAGCUAACGSGUUAAACGUGCCGCCUGGRGAGUACUGKCGCAAGAUUAAAACUCAAAGAAAUUGAUGGGACCCGCACAAGCGGUGGAGUAUGUGGYUUAAUUCGAUGCAACGCSAAGAACCUUACCUGGGCUUGACAUGCUUGUCAUAGUCCCGUGAAAGCGRGACGUCAGUUCGGCUGGACUUGCACAGUGUGCUGCAUGGCUGUCGUCAGCUCSUGUCSUGAGAUGUUSSCUUAASUCCCGCAACRAGCGCAACCGCUGUGAACWGUUGCCAG